AUGAACGCUGGCGGCGUGUCUAAUACAUGCCAGUCGAGCGAACGGACGAGAAGCUUGCUUCUCUGAUGUUAGCGGCGGACGGGUGAGUAACACGUGGAUAACCUACCUAUAAGACUGGGAUAACUUCGGGAAACCGGAGCUAAUACCGGAUAAUAUUUUGAACCGCAUGGUUCAAAAGUGAAAGACGGUCUUGCUGUCACUUAUAGAUGGAUCCGCGCUGCAUUAGCUAGUUGGUAAGGUAACGGCUUACCAAGGCAACGAUGCAUAGCCGACCUGAGAGGGUGAUCGGCCACACUGGAACUGAGACACGGUCCAGACUCCUACGGGAGGCAGCAGUAGGGAAUCUUCCGCAAUGGGCGAAAGCCUGACGGAGCAACGCCGCGUGAGUGAUGAAGGUCUUCGGAUCGUAAAACUCUGUUAUUAGGGAAGAACAUAUGUGUAAGUAACUGUGCACAUCUUGACGGUACCUAAUCAGAAAGCCACGGCUAACUACGUG
Molecule: ribosomal RNA, 496 nt
Filed under: uncultured bacterium
Lineage: Bacteria
Description: partial 16S ribosomal RNA
Rfam family: Bacterial small subunit ribosomal RNA
Source: RNAcentral